CUGUGAAUAUACUCACUGUUCUGAUUUUGUAAUAAUCAGGACAGGCUAAAUAUUUACUAUAUGAAGACCAUGCAUGUGUCCCCAGACCCAGUUCUUUCCACUUGCUUUCCCUAGGUCUGGUUUUAUAAAUGCUGGUAAUAAAC
RNAcentral lists this small nucleolar RNA (143 nucleotides) under Myotis davidii. RNAcentral's name for it is "Small nucleolar RNA SNORA72". It matches the Rfam family "Small nucleolar RNA SNORA72". Rfam says of the family: U72 is a member of the H/ACA class of snoRNAs. The snoRNA gene is located in intron 4 of the ribosomal L30 protein gene in human, mouse and chicken. Lineage: Eukaryota; Metazoa; Chordata; Mammalia; Chiroptera; Vespertilionidae. The record is from Rfam by way of RNAcentral.